GACGAACGCUGGCGGCGUGCUUAACACAUGCAAGUCGAACGGUGACGCGCCUUCCUUUUUGGCGGGUGUGGAUGAGUGGCGAACGGGUGAGUAACACGUGAGUAACCUGCCCCCUCCUUCUGGAUAACCGCAUGAAAGUGUCGCUAAUACGGGAUAUUCUGGGUCUGUCGCAUGAUGGGUUUGUGAAAGAUUUUGUUUCGGUGGGGGCUGGGCUCGCGGCCUAUCAGCUUCGUGGUGGGGUGAUGGCCUACCGACGCGGUGACGGUUAGCCGGCCUGAGAGGGUGGACGCACACGGGGAGACUGAGACGGGGCAGAGACUCCUGCGAGACAGAGGAGUGGAAAAUAGUGCAAUGGCGGAAGACGGAUGAUGCAACACCGCGGCGGGGAAGAAGGAGUUCGGCUUGUUGAGACCUUCUUUUGGGAGAGAAGAAGAGCAGGCUAGUACGUGGGUGGGUUGACGGUACCUAGAGAAGAAGCGCCGGCUAACUACGUG
RNAcentral lists this ribosomal RNA (494 nucleotides) under uncultured bacterium. RNAcentral's name for it is "partial 16S ribosomal RNA". It matches the Rfam family "Bacterial small subunit ribosomal RNA", at positions 28 to 507 of the family's 1533-position model. The record is from RNAcentral.